This 561-nucleotide long non-coding RNA is filed under the name Homo sapiens (human). Its description in RNAcentral is "non-protein coding lnc-KCNC3-1:5". Lineage: Eukaryota; Metazoa; Chordata; Mammalia; Primates; Hominidae. The record is from RNAcentral.
CUAGAUGAGAGGAGCCUAGGCAACAGGGCUGUCCACACACGGUGCUGAAUACCCAGGUGCUCAAUAUGAACAUUACUCCAUGGCACUGGGGAGCCACGGACGGGAUUUGAGCAGAGCAGGAAUCUCCCAUCUUCACUUGUUCCUCUCCUCCACCAGUACAUCAUCCGGUGCUCAGAAAUCCCAAAGCUCCCCGCAGUCUCACUCCUCAUUGGGGGGGUCUGGUUUAAUCUCACGGCCCAGGAUUACGUCAUCCAGUUUGCUCAGGGUGACGUCCGCCUCUGCUUGUCCGGCUUCCGGGCCUUGGACAUCGCUUCGCCUCCAGUACCUGUGUGGAUCCUCGGCGACGUUUUCUUGGGGGCGUAUGUGACCGUCUUCGACCGCGGGGACAUGAAGAGCGGCGCACGAGUGGGACUGGCGCGCGCUCGCCCUCGCGGAGCGGACCUGGGAAGGCGCGAGACCGCGCAGGCGCAGUACCGCGGGUGCCGCCCAGGUGAUGCGCAUGCGCACCGGGUAGCAGAGCUAGCGCUACUCAGUAAAAAUCCAAUAUUUCCAUUGAACGAA